This 735-nucleotide ribosomal RNA is filed under the name uncultured Fusobacterium sp. RNAcentral describes it as "bacterial SSU rRNA". It matches the Rfam family "Bacterial small subunit ribosomal RNA", at positions 28 to 776 of the family's 1533-position model. Lineage: Bacteria; Fusobacteriati; Fusobacteriota; Fusobacteriia; Fusobacteriales; Fusobacteriaceae. The record is from RNAcentral.
GAUGAACGCUGACAGAAUGCUUAACACAUGCAAGUCAACUUGAAUUUGGGUUUUUAACUUAGGUUUGGGUGGCGGACGGGUGAGUAACGCGUAAAGAACUUGCCUCACAGCUAGGGACAACAUUUGGAAACGAAUGCUAAUACCUAAUAUUAUGAUAAUAGGGCAUCCUAUAAUUAUGAAAGCUAUAAGCGCUGUGAGAGAGCUUUGCGUCCCAUUAGCUAGUUGGAGAGGUAACGGCUCACCAAGGCGAUGAUGGGUAGCCGGCCUGAGAGGGUGAUCGGCCACAAGGGGACUGAGACACGGCCCUUACUCCUACGGGAGGCAGCAGUGGGGAAUAUUGGACAAUGGACCAAGAGUCUGAUCCAGCAAUUCUGUGUGCACGAUGAAGUUUUUCGGAAUGUAAAGUGCUUUCAGUUGGGAAGAAAGAAAUGACGGUACCAACAGAAGAAGUGACGGCUAAAUACGUGCCAGCAGCCGCGGUAAUACGUAUGUCACGAGCGUUAUCCGGAUUUAUUGGGCGUAAAGCGCGUCUAGGUGGUUAUGUAAGUCUGAUGUGAAAAUGCAGGGCUCAACUCUGUAUUGCGUUGGAAACUGUAUAACUAGAGUACUGGAGAGGUAAGCGGAACUACAAGUGUAGAGGUGAAAUUCGUAGAUAUUUGUAGGAAUGCCGAUGGGGAAGCCAGCUUACUGGACAGAUACUGACGCUGAAGCGCGAAAGCGUGGGUAGCAAACAGG